UUUGUAAUUGGUUUCACUUCAUUAUCUAUAUAUAGUUUGGUAAGAAACUUUCAAAAAUUGACGAAUUAGACAAGUUUAAAACUCCAUGAACUGUAACAUUUUAGGCUAUGCCAAUGAUUGUUGAGAAAACUAUAUCACUCAUCUAAUCCUUUUUUGCAGCAAAUCUUGGAUGAAUAGUGAUUUUAAACCUAGUCCAUCUCAUUGAAAGAUUAUCAUCCUAAAUUUGAA
RNAcentral lists this unclassified non-coding RNA (228 nucleotides) under Hevea brasiliensis (rubber tree). Lineage: Eukaryota; Viridiplantae; Streptophyta; Magnoliopsida; Malpighiales; Euphorbiaceae. The record is from RNAcentral.